RNAcentral lists this ribosomal RNA (623 nucleotides) under Pterocomma salicis. RNAcentral's name for it is "bacterial SSU rRNA". It matches the Rfam family "Eukaryotic small subunit ribosomal RNA", at positions 717 to 1263 of the family's 1831-position model. The record is from RNAcentral. Lineage: Eukaryota; Metazoa; Arthropoda; Insecta; Hemiptera; Aphididae.
UCGGAUCUGUGCGGUGCCGGACCGCGGCCGGCACGUCGGCCGGACGUAUUGUCGGCGGCGGACCGGCCGCCUACAGUGCCGCGGCGGGCCUACACGUUUACUUUGAACAAAUUAGAGUGCUCAAAGCAGGCUCAAAUCUGGCGGGUUACGGCCGCCUGAAUACUGGUCGCAUGGAAUAAUGGAACAAGACCUCGGUCCCGCCCGUCGGCCGGUUUUCGGGAGGAGGUAAUGAUCAACAGAGACGGGCGGGGGCAUUCGUACCGAGACGUUAGAGGUGAAAUUCUUGGAUCGUCUCGAGACGAACUGACGCGAAAGCAUUUGCCAAGUACGUUCUCGUUGAUCAAGAACGAAAGUUAGAGGUUCGAAGGCGAUCAGAUACCGCCCUAGUUCUAACUGUAAACGAUGCCAGCUAGCGAUCCGCCGGCGUUUCAUUAACGACCCGGCGGGCAGCCGGGAAACCAAGCUUUUCGGUUCCGGGGGAAGUAUGAUUGCAAAGUUGAAACUUAAAGGAAUUGACGGAAGGGCACCACCAGGAGUGGAGCCUGCGGCUUAAUUUGACUCAACACGGGAAACCUCACUAGGCCCGGACACCGGAAAGAUUGACAGAUUGAGAGCUCUUUCUU